Molecule: unclassified non-coding RNA, 148 nt
Organism: Macaca fascicularis (crab-eating macaque)
Lineage: Eukaryota; Metazoa; Chordata; Mammalia; Primates; Cercopithecidae
Rfam family: Metazoan signal recognition particle RNA
About the family: The signal recognition particle (SRP) is a universally conserved ribonucleoprotein. It is involved in the co-translational targeting of proteins to membranes. The eukaryotic SRP consists of a 300-nucleotide 7S RNA and six proteins: SRPs 72, 68, 54, 19, 14, and 9.
Source: Ensembl
GCCAGGAGUGGUGGCGCCCACCUGUAAUCCCAGCUACUUGGGAGGCUGAGGCAGGAGAAUCACUUGAACCCAGGAGGCCGAGGUUGCAGUGAGCCGAGAUCACGCCACUGCAUCCCAGCCUGGGUGACAGAGUGAGACUCCAUCUCAA